This 500-nucleotide ribosomal RNA is filed under the name uncultured bacterium. RNAcentral's name for it is "partial 16S ribosomal RNA". It matches the Rfam family "Bacterial small subunit ribosomal RNA", at positions 30 to 523 of the family's 1533-position model. The record is from RNAcentral.
AUUGAACGCUGGCGGCAUGCUUUACACAUGCAAGUCGAACGGUAACAGGGAGCUUGCUCCGCUGACGAGUGGCGAACGGGUGAGUAAUAUAUCGGAACGUACCCAGAAGUGGGGGAUAACGUAGCGAAAGUUACGCUAAUACCGCAUACGAUCCACGGAUGAAAGUAGGGGACCUUCGGGCCUUAUGCUUUUGGAGCGGCCGAUAUCUGAUUAGCUAGUUGGUGAGGUAAAGGCUCACCAAGGCGACGAUCAGUAGCUGGUCUGACAGGACGACCAGCCACACUGGAACGGAGACACGGUCCAGACUCCUACGGGAGGCAGCAGUGGGGAAUUUUGGACAAUGGGCGCAAGCCUGAUCCAGCAAUGCCGCGUGAGUGAAGAAGGCCUUCGGGUUGUAAAGCUCUUUUGUCAGGGAAGAAACGGCUGUGGCUAAUAUCCACGGCUAAUGACGGUACCUGAAGAAUAAGCACCGGCUAACUACGUGCCAGCCGCCGCGGUAA